UAAUACGUAGGGGGCAAGCGUUGUCCGGAAUCAUUGGGCGUAAAGAGCGUGUAGGCGGCUCGAUAAGUCCGUUCUGAAAGUCCAGGGCUCAACCCUGGGAUGCGGAUGGAUACUGUCGGGCUCGAGUCCGGAAGAGGCGAGUGGAAUUCCCGGUGUAGCGGUGAAAUGCGCAGAUAUCGGGAGGAACACCAAUGGCGAAGGCAGCUCGCUGGGACGUGACUGACGCUGAGACGCGAAAGCGUGGGGAGCAAACAGGAUUAGAUACCCUGGUAGUCCACGCCGUAAACGAUGGACACUAGGUGUGGGAGGUGUCGACUCCUCCCGUGCCGCAGCUAACGCAUUAAGUGUCCCGCCUGGGGAGUACGGCCGCAAGGCUA
Molecule: ribosomal RNA, 377 nt
Filed under: uncultured bacterium
Lineage: Bacteria
Description: bacterial SSU rRNA
Rfam family: Bacterial small subunit ribosomal RNA
Source: RNAcentral